RNAcentral lists this small nuclear RNA (116 nucleotides) under Helianthus annuus (common sunflower). Its description in RNAcentral is "U5 spliceosomal RNA". It matches the Rfam family "U5 spliceosomal RNA". From Rfam's summary of the family: U5 RNA is a component of both types of known spliceosome. The precise function of this molecule is unknown, though it is known that the 5' loop is required for splice site selection and p220 binding, and that both the 3' stem-loop and the Sm site are important for Sm protein binding and cap methylation. The record is from RNAcentral. Lineage: Eukaryota; Viridiplantae; Streptophyta; Magnoliopsida; Asterales; Asteraceae.
AACCAUGCAAUGAGCACAAAGCGAACUAUUCUUUCGUCUUUUACUAAAGAAUACUGUGUGUUCGUUGCAUAUAAUGGCAUGUGUCAAUUUUUGGAGAGACCCUUUACCCAAGGGCU